GACAGAGGAUGGCAAGCGUUAUCCGGAAUGAUUGGGCGUAAAGCGUCUGUAGGUGGCUUUUUUAAGUCCGCCGUCAAAUCCCAAGGGCUCAACCCUGGACAGGCGGUGGAACUACCAAGCUGGAGUACGGUAGGGCAGAGGGGAAUUUCCGGUGGAGCGGUGAAAUGCGUAGAGAUCGGAAAGAACACCAACGGCGAAAGCACUCUGCUGGGCCGACACUGACACUGAGAGACGAAAGCUAGGGGAGCGAAUGGG
RNAcentral lists this ribosomal RNA (255 nucleotides) under uncultured bacterium. RNAcentral describes it as "partial 16S ribosomal RNA". It matches the Rfam family "Bacterial small subunit ribosomal RNA", at positions 524 to 776 of the family's 1533-position model. The record is from RNAcentral.